This 416-nucleotide ribosomal RNA is filed under the name uncultured bacterium. RNAcentral describes it as "bacterial SSU rRNA". It matches the Rfam family "Bacterial small subunit ribosomal RNA", at positions 358 to 772 of the family's 1533-position model. The record is from RNAcentral.
GGAAUAUUGGGCAAUGGCCGAGAGGCUGACCCAGCCAUGCCGCGUGCAGGAAGAAGGCCUUCUGGGUUGUAAACUGCUUUUAUCUAGGAAGAAAACGCCCCUGCGGGGGUAACUGACGGUGCUAUAUGAAGAAGCACCGGCUAACUCCGUGCCAGCAGCCGCGGUAAUACGGAGGGUGCAAGCGUUGUCCGGAUUGAUUGGGUUUAAAGGGUGCGUAGGCGGCCCGUUAAGUCAGCGGUGAAAUCCCACGGCUCAACCGUGGAACUUCCGUUGAUACUGGCGGGCUUGAGUUCGGUCGAGGCGGGCGGAACUGGCGGUGUAGCGGUGAAAUGCAUAGAUACCGCCAAGAACCCCGAUUGCGUAGGCAGCUCGCUGGGCCGAAACUGACGCUGAGGCACGAAAGCGUGGGGAGCGAA